Molecule: unclassified non-coding RNA, 208 nt
Filed under: Hevea brasiliensis (rubber tree)
Lineage: Eukaryota; Viridiplantae; Streptophyta; Magnoliopsida; Malpighiales; Euphorbiaceae
Source: RNAcentral
GUCAAUAAAGAGGAUGUUGUGCUUGAUGGAAGUGAAGCGCCUGUUAGAAUUGAUGCUGAAGCUCUGCUGGCAUCUGAGAAACUUGCCCCUGCUGCUAGUCUAAAGAAGGUAAGGGUUGCAUAUCGACCUAUUGAUGCUAAACUUAGCACUCUCACAGCAGAUCGUGACAAACUGCCCUCUGGCAAACAGACACUGGCUCUUUAUUGAC